Molecule: long non-coding RNA, 3592 nt
Filed under: Sus scrofa (pig)
Lineage: Eukaryota; Metazoa; Chordata; Mammalia; Artiodactyla; Suidae
Description: lncRNA (ENSSSCG00035006801.1)
Source: RNAcentral
CAAUUCAGGCAUGCAUGACUCAGGUCAUUUUUGGGGAAUAAUGUAAAUGAUAAUAGUAUGUAGGAAGUGCUGAGUUUGGCUACUCUCUCACAAACUUGCUACCAGAUAAAAAUAAAAACAGGUUUCAGGCAAAAUUCAGGGACACAAAAGGCAUUUAUUAAUCAAGCAUUCAUAAGUAAGUGGCAAGUGUAGCUCAAAUUUUCUGUAACCUCACAGGUAUCCUAUUGCUUUGUGUAAUUCUUUUAAGUGCUUACACUUCCUUUUGUAUGCAAAAUUCAUUGAAGACAGACAAUGGCAUUCUGGGGGAGAAAGAUUAGGAAGUCAGAACUAUGAAACCAGUAGCUAAAUAAGGGACCAAGUAAAGAAUCGAACCUCUAAUGUUACCUCUAAUACUACAUGUCAUAGUUUGCUGGAUUCUUAUGUUUUUUCAGGGAUUGAGGGGUGUUUCUAAAUCAUUUAACCCAAUCUACAUAUUUUGACUAUUUUUUUUUCAAUAAUUUUUUUUAUUUUCCCACUGUACAGCAAGGCGGUCAGGUUAUCCUUACAUGUAUACAUUACAGUUAUAUUUUGACUAUUUUUAAUUUCACCAGUAAUAGUUUUUCCCCCUUUUUUAGCUGUGUCCACAGCACAUGGAAGUUCCUGAGCCUGGGAUUGAACCAUGUCACAGCAGCGACCUUAGCUGCUGCAGUGACAAUGCCAAAUUCUUAAACCCUGUGCCACAAGAGAACUCCAAUGUAUUUUGAACAUAUUGUUUUGAUUAAUAAGUCACUGAUGGACCAACAAAAUCCAAUUUUUAAUAAAAUAGCAAGGAGUACCCUGGUAGCUCUGCAGUUACUGAUCCAGCCCUGUCACUGCUGUGGCUUGGUCACUGCUAUGGCAAGGGUUUGAUUCCUUACCUGGAAACUUCUGAAUACCAUGGGCUUGGCCAAAAAAAAAAAAAAAUUAAUAGUUUGCAAAGUGUCAUUUGUUGAUCUGAAAGAUUUGUAGAAGAUGCUCUGGAAUCUUGGUUUUUUUUUUAUGUAAUGCCAGCUCACCACUCUGUUAUGAAUCCUAACAGCAAGUUUACCUAACCACCCUAGCAUUAAAAGUUAAACUAACUGGUAUCUACUUAAUCUCACAUUGAUUAUACUGAAGUACUACCAGACAUCAUGACGGGAACCUCUGGCUUCAGCCCUUAGUCAUUCUUUGGAAUGUGUAGCCAAGGGUACCAACCUUCUCACAUAUAUAUCUGCAUCGCAGUGGGACUUAGAAUUACAGGGGAAAAAAGUUUGUUCUAAGUCUUGUAGGAGUAUGCAGUAUGCUGAUUACCAAGCAAUAACAACUAUUUUCCAUUUUUUACUAUAAAUUUACUGAUGAUCAAACUAAUACAUAUUGUGAUAAAGAUUGCCAAUUGUCUCCUAUAUUAAAGAGCAUUUGGAACAAUGUACAAGUAUUAAAAACAAAGCAGGAGAAUAACAAUAACUCUAUGACCCAGUCAACCAUGGUGAAGUGCUAUCUUAGCAGUCAUUGUGGCUUCCCUCCCCUUCCCUUUUCAGGAUGACACACUCUCUUGGUGCUGGCAGUGUUAGCUGCUAAUGGCCCUAUUCAGGCAUUGCCCUUGACCUCACAGGGCAGUCUGUGUUCAAUAACUGGUUGUUGAGGGACUACCAGAAGCCCAGCCUUCUUGCCUCAAUUGGGACGACUCUGGAGGGCCAUCCUAGUUCCAGAGUUCUAUCUAGGAAUGGCCAUGGCCUCUGUUGUAAUUGCUUUAUGGUUCAUCCUCCUGCUCUGCCAGUCCUUCUUCCCUCCCCACUCACAACCACCAUUCCCAAGAGCACUGGACAGCAAACUUCCUGCAUGCACAGCUUAGACUGUUGACAGGGAAUCUGACCCAUAUAUACAAUUACAAAUUUGGAAUUCUACUGUAAUACUGUGUUGCAAUCGGAUUUUUUUUUUGGCAUACAUACCAUGCUGGGUAUUCUCUAUUUGCUCCUCCAGCCCCACACUCCAUCCUUCUCCACCCAGCUCUAUUCUGGGAAGCUGACCUCUGUAGACUCCACCAGUGGGCUCUCUCACCCAGCCUUCCACCCAGGAGGGAGAUAGAGGAGAUCCCUCCUUGCCUGGCUGUGGUUGGAAGUGGCAUCAUUUUUCUCCUGGAGGCCAUUUGUCCUGCCAUGAGAUCAUCUUCAGCAGUCAGUCUUGUCAGGCACCCUGCUUGAGCAUGUCAUCUACUUCCUGGCAGGACCGUGGCUGGUAUGAAGAUGAACUGAAAGCAUUUCUCCCUUCUUUAAAUCUUCUAAAACAUGAUUUUCGUUGGCCACAUACAAUUCCGUCACAUAGACCUACUAGUGUUUUAUUUAACACUUCUCUAUUGAAGUAUAAAUACAAUUUUUACACUGAUUUUUUUUAUCAUAACAUAAAGUUUAUUAGGCCAUUUAAAACUGCCAAUAAACACCUCUUAAAAUGAUCGCUAUAUUCUUGAGUGGAGUGUGUUCCUUGAGUUGUUUAUUCAUGUUUAUAAGGACAAAAAUGCAUAUCAAGAUAAUUGGUUGGCUACCCUCUGUAGCUACUAUAGAGUAAAGCAAAGCUGUAGCCCAAACUCGCAACUUAGUUCUGGGCUCCUAACACAGUUGAACUGGUGUAAAUAAUACUUGCACUUGAAUCUGAAAUUUUUUUUCUGUUUUCUGGGCCAGGCUUUGCUUGGAUGCUGGAUAAUGGACUGCGUGAUAGCUUUUUACUCCUUGUGUGCUUGUAAUUCUAGAAAAAAUAAAAAGCAUUUAGUGCAAAGAAUUUGGAAGAGAAUAUAGUGUUGAUCAUCAAGUACCUCAUAUAACAAUAGCACCAUAAUGAAACAGUAAGAGGAGGUUUUUAAUCAAGGAGUAUGAGACUAGAAUAAACUAAACAUGAAAUUUAAAAUUCUGGGCUGCCAGUUCUCUUCAUAGUUUGGUGACCCUGUGUAGUUCUCUUUACCUAAGUUAAUCUUCUUCUAGUAUUAUGGUACUUCUAAUAUUAUGGUAGGUCACCUCAUGAACUCAUUCACUCAUUCGUUCAAUGCACUCAAUAAGUAUCGAGCACUUACUAUGUUGUAGGCACCACGAUGUGGCUGUGAACAAGUUAGAUAAUAUACGUCUCUCAAGAGUCAGAUAAUUGACAAGGGAAAAAAUAAACAAGACCAUCAUAAAUAUUGUUACCUACUAGAAGGAAAUAGGUAGGGUGAUGAAAGAGUAAAUGAGGCAGAGCCCUUUAGACUGGCUGGUCAGGGAUAAAUACAAACCACACAUUAUGUGUUAUAGCAGGUAGCAUGCUAGAGUGGAGGAAAGGCAUGGAUUUGAAGCAUGGUUUGUACAAGUUCCUUAACCUCUCUGAACACCUGGGCAUUCUGAAUGUAGCUGAUGAUAGUGCCUACUACUUAAAAUAGUAGUGGAAUUGAAUCAGAGAAAAUUCCUAGCACUGUAAGCAUUACUUCCUGCCAGGCCACAAAUACCUAUUAAUAUCCUCUUAAAAUUAUAUAGAACCUGAAUUCUGUCAUGUCCAUUGUGCAAUGACCCAACUUCAGGACAUUGUUCUCUAUAUCUUUGAAUCAAUUUAAUUCAUCAGAUAUUUACUGAGCACU